GGGUUGUGAGGUUAAGCGACUAAGCGUACACGGUGGAUGCCCUGGCAGUCAGAGGCGAUGAAGGACGUGCUAAUCUGCGAUAAGCGUCGGUAAGGUGAUAUGAACCGUUAUAACCGGCGAUUUCCGAAUGGGGAAACCCAGUGUGAUUCGUCACACUAUCAUUAACUGAAUUCAUAGGUUAAUGAGGCGAACCGGGGGAACUGAAACAUCUAAGUACCCCGAGGAAAAGAAAUCAACCGAGAUUCCCCCAGUAGCGGCGAGCGAACGGGGAGCAGCCCAGAGCCUGAAUCAGUGUGUGUGUUAGUGGAAGCGUCUGGAAAGGCGCGCGAUACAGGGUGACAGCCCCGUACACAAAAAUGCACAUGCUGUGAGCUCGAUGAGUAGGGCGGGACACGUGGUAUCCUGUCUGAAUAUGGGGGGACCAUCCUCCAAGGCUAAAUACUCCUGACUGACCGAUAGUGAACCAGUACCGUGAGGGAAAGGCGAAAAGAACCCCGGCGAGGGGAGUGAAAAAGAACCUGAAACCGUGUACGUACAAGCAGUGGGAGCACGCUUAGGCGUGUGACUGCGUACCUUUUGUAUAAUGGGUCAGCGACUUAUAUUCUGUAGCAAGGUUAACCGAAUAGGGGAGCCGAAGGGAAACCGAGUCUUAACUGGGCGUUAAGUUGCAGGGUAUAGACCCGAAACCCGGUGAUCUAGCCAUGGGCAGGUUGAAGGUUGGGUAACACUAACUGGAGGACCGAACCGACUAAUGUUGAAAAAUUAGCGGAUGACUUGUGGCUGGGGGUGAAAGGCCAAUCAAACCGGGAGAUAGCUGGUUCUCCCCGAAAGCUAUUUAGGUAGCGCCUCGUGAAUUCAUCUCCGGGGGUAGAGCACUGUUUCGGCAAGGGGGUCAUCCCGACUUACCAACCCGAUGCAAACUGCGAAUACCGGAGAAUGUUAUCACGGGAGACACACGGCGGGUGCUAACGUCCGUCGUGAAGAGGGAAACAACCCAGACCGCCAGCUAAGGUCCCAAAGUCAUGGUUAAGUGGGAAACGAUGUGGGAAGGCCCAGACAGCCAGGAUGUUGGCUUAGAAGCAGCCAUCAUUUAAAGAAAGCGUAAUAGCUCACUGGUCGAGUCGGCCUGCGCGGAAGAUGUAACGGGGCUAAACCAUGCACCGAAGCUGCGGCAGCGACGCUGAUGCGUUGUUGGGUAGGGGAGCGUUCUGUAAGCCUGCGAAGGUGUGCUGUGAGGCAUGCUGGAGGUAUCAGAAGUGCGAAUGCUGACAUAAGUAACGAUAAAGCGGGUGAAAAGCCCGCUCGCCGGAAGACCAAGGGUUCCUGUCCAACGUUAAUCGGGGCAGGGUGAGUCGACCCCUAAGGCGAGGCCGAAAGGCGUAGUCGAUGGGAAACAGGUUAAUAUUCCUGUACUUGGUGUUACUGCGAAGGGGGGACGGAGAAGGCUAUGUUGGCCGGGCGACGGUUGUCCCGGUUUAAGCGUGUAGGCUGGUUUUCCAGGCAAAUCCGGAAAAUCAAGGCUGAGGCGUGAUGACGAGGCACUACGGUGCUGAAGCAACAAAUGCCCUGCUUCCAGGAAAAGCCUCUAAGCAUCAGGUAACAUCAAAUCGUACCCCAAACCGACACAGGUGGUCAGGUAGAGAAUACCAAGGCGCUUGAGAGAACUCGGGUGAAGGAACUAGGCAAAAUGGUGCCGUAACUUCGGGAGAAGGCACGCUGAUAUGUAGGUGAAGCGACUUGCUCGUGGAGCUGAAAUCAGUCGAAGAUACCAGCUGGCUGCAACUGUUUAUUAAAAACACAGCACUGUGCAAACACGAAAGUGGACGUAUACGGUGUGACGCCUGCCCGGUGCCGGAAGGUUAAUUGAUGGGGUUAGCGCAAGCGAAGCUCUUGAUCGAAGCCCCGGUAAACGGCGGCCGUAACUAUAACGGUCCUAAGGUAGCGAAAUUCCUUGUCGGGUAAGUUCCGACCUGCACGAAUGGCGUAAUGAUGGCCAGGCUGUCUCCACCCGAGACUCAGUGAAAUUGAACUCGCUGUGAAGAUGCAGUGUACCCGCGGCAAGACGGAAAGACCCCGUGAACCUUUACUAUAGCUUGACACUGAACAUUGAGCCUUGAUGUGUAGGAUAGGUGGGAGGCUUUGAAGUGUGGACGCCAGUCUGCAUGGAGCCGACCUUGAAAUACCACCCUUUAAUGUUUGAUGUUCUAACGUUGACCCGUGAUCCGGGUUGCGGACAGUGUCUGGUGGGUAGUUUGACUGGGGCGGUCUCCUCCUAAAGAGUAACGGAGGAGCACGAAGGUUGGCUAAUCCUGGUCGGACAUCAGGAGGUUAGUGCAAUGGCAUAAGCCAGCUUGACUGCGAGCGUGACGGCGCGAGCAGGUGCGAAAGCAGGUCAUAGUGAUCCGGUGGUUCUGAAUGGAAGGGCCAUCGCUCAACGGAUAAAAGGUACUCCGGGGAUAACAGGCUGAUACCGCCCAAGAGUUCAUAUCGACGGCGGUGUUUGGCACCUCGAUGUCGGCUCAUCACAUCCUGGGGCUGAAGUAGGUCCCAAGGGUAUGGCUGUUCGCCAUUUAAAGUGGUACGCGAGCUGGGUUUAGAACGUCGUGAGACAGUUCGGUCCCUAUCUGCCGUGGGCGCUGGAGAACUGAGGGGGGCUGCUCCUAGUACGAGAGGACCGGAGUGGACGCAUCACUGGUGUUCGGGUUGUCAUGCCAAUGGCACUGCCCGGUAGCUAAAUGCGGAAGAGAUAAGUGCUGAAAGCAUCUAAGCACGAAACUUGCCCCGAGAUGAGUUCUCCCUGACUCCUUGAGAGUCCUGAAGGAACGUUGAAGACGACGACGUUGAUAGGCCGGGUGUGUAAGCGCAGCGAUGCGUUGAGCUAACCGGUACUAAUGAACCGUGAGGCUUAACCUUACAACGCCGAAGGUGUUU
This 2931-nucleotide ribosomal RNA is filed under the name Escherichia coli. RNAcentral describes it as "23S ribosomal RNA". It matches the Rfam family "Bacterial large subunit ribosomal RNA". The record is from RNAcentral. Lineage: Bacteria; Pseudomonadati; Pseudomonadota; Gammaproteobacteria; Enterobacterales; Enterobacteriaceae.